GCCUUCGUGGUGUAGUGGUCAGCACGAUAGACUCGAAUUCGAAAGGUCUGUGGUUCGAGUCCCGGCGAGGGCA
RNAcentral lists this transfer RNA (73 nucleotides) under Stegodyphus dumicola. RNAcentral describes it as "tRNA-Ser". It matches the Rfam family "tRNA". From Rfam's summary of the family: Transfer RNA (tRNA) molecules are approximately 80 nucleotides in length. Their secondary structure includes four short double-helical elements and three loops (D, anti-codon, and T loops). The record is from RNAcentral. Lineage: Eukaryota; Metazoa; Arthropoda; Arachnida; Araneae; Eresidae.